UGUUUUAGCGCCAACAACAUCGACUUGGAACAAUCGAGUCUCUGUAGCCUGCUAAUUUGGCAUGUGCAUUAGUAAUGUAUGUUCGCUUUUGCCCACAGAAUCGAACAUCAAAAUAGCUGAAUACAUGUGCACGAAGUCCUUUAGCGUACUCUUUCUUAUCUUAUUUUAUACCAAAACUCUUACAUGACCUUGUUCUUAUAUGGAAAAACUCUUGCACGACCUGGUUCCACGAUAUGACAUGCUAGAUGGCCGAAACAAUCUAAACCUACUCCUACUUAUAGCAUCUAAAACGACACAGACUCCAGCGCCCUUUCCUACACUAGUAAGGCAUGCUAACUCCAAGACAUAGUAGUACAACAUGUAGGCAGCUAGCUAUGCAAACUCAUUGAACCAUAUAUGGAUUAGUACGACCCACCCAAGUACACAAAUUCUUAUGACAUGCAAGCCAGACUUGUUGGAAAACUAACUAAUCAAUCUAACCAAAUUAGACUCAAACUUGGCUAGUUAAACUAGCACGGACUCCUACUAAACUACUUGAAAUUAUUCUAACAAUUUAGAAGACCACAACAUUCAUGCAGACUAAGUAGUGCCAGCGUAUUAGUAUAUGCCAACAUUUAAUAAAUAGGAUUGGCUUUCUUAGUUACUUGUUUACCGAGAACGUGGAAACUUAGAGCAGUUCCAGUACGCUCAUCUUUGUCACCAUGGUUGCUGGAUGCUGAAACUGUUGGCCGAAUAGGUAGAGGAGAAGGCCCUGAGUAUUACAGAGAAGAGGGGAUCCUAGUAAGAUCCAAUAGUUUCGGAUCAGUGAAUUCGACGUACCUGACACACUCGCACAGUCGUCGCAUCUGAUCGCUUAGCUGUCUGUUUAUGGUUGUUAGUAUCAUCCAACCACCGUAGUGUGCCCUGUAUGUCAGGGAAGGAGAGUGCACAAGAGGAAUAUUUUUAAUGUUUACGUUCUUGGAUGAACCAAGUACAUGCUCAUUGUGUUCUUGGAUGAACCAAGUACAUGCUCAUUGUGUUAACAGUUUAAGAAGAAUAUAGUACAAACAUGAGAAGAUGUGAGAGGCACCUGGUCAAGAGUUUGUGUGCGACCUAUCAUGCAUCAUUCUAGUAUUUGUAAACAUCUGUGGCUCCUCACAAAAUACAAAAUUAGUACAGAAAUUGCAGGAAUUCAGAAGUACCUGUAUUUCCAAAAAAAGAGCACUAAACUCGAUUUAGAGGUGAGAUUUCAACAAUAUGAGUCAUAUACAUAUGACAAGAAUAUCAAGGUAUGAUGUUCUUGUAUCGCACCUUCAAACUUUAUCAAUUAUUUGACAAUUUAUAUUGGAUAAUAUGAGUGUAAGAAUUAUUUCCAUCUGAGCUCUUGCAUAAACUUCAAGAUUGUAGUGUGCAAAUUUUAACUGAAUAAGAAACUGAAACUAACAUAAGUUUUUGUCCAGGGAAAACAAAUAUUACAUCAACCAGAAAAAAGAAUAAGAUACAAAUUCAUGUUUUCCUUACUGUAACAUGCGAAAGGAUCCUCGCCAAGCUAUAAACAAAUGAGUUAAAUAAUUCUUAAGGCUUCUUCUGCAUGGAUCGAUUUCUCCUGAUUGUAAUGCAUAAGUGAUGUACAUCGAU
Molecule: long non-coding RNA, 1617 nt
Filed under: Triticum aestivum (bread wheat)
Lineage: Eukaryota; Viridiplantae; Streptophyta; Magnoliopsida; Poales; Poaceae
Description: long non-coding RNA (TAES_LNC019508)
Source: RNAcentral